This is a long non-coding RNA of Centruroides sculpturatus (bark scorpion), 278 nucleotides long. RefSeq lists it as uncharacterized. NCBI's taxonomy places the organism in Eukaryota, Metazoa, Arthropoda, Arachnida, Scorpiones, Buthidae. The transcript is spliced from 2 exons. The record is from RefSeq and is a predicted model, not a curated record.
UAAUAAUGAAAAUAACAUAAGGUUAUUUAAUUUUAAUGUGACAAAUGUGCACGAUUUUCUUUGCACAACUUUGUAAAAUCUGGUUGCUUUUUGAUCAGCUUCAGUCUCAAGUCAUCUUUGUGUUGAAGUCGGUGAUGAUGAUUAGUUUUCAUGUUUGUUGUGGCUGAAAAUCCGCUCUCGCAGAGGAUGGUAUAUUGUCUGGAAACUGUUCUUAUCUCGAUUUAAAUUUGUUAGAGAAUUAUUAAUGGCUAGCAAUGGAGCAAGCGAGGAAGAACAAA